RNAcentral lists this non-coding RNA (973 nucleotides) under Pan troglodytes (chimpanzee). Lineage: Eukaryota; Metazoa; Chordata; Mammalia; Primates; Hominidae. The record is from RNAcentral.
ACUUCAGUCUACAGAGCAAUGUUCCAUUGGAUCCUAUUACUGAGCCAUCUCCUUCGUCCCCCUUUCCGCCCCCUCCUCUAGGUUUCCGAGAGGGAGCAGCAGGGGAUUGGCGCCCGUUUCCCCGCCCGACAGCCCCCCCGACCCGUGGCCCCAUUACAGCACGUGGGCGGCGAUCCAGCAGGAGGAGGCGCAGAUCCACAGGCCGAAGGAGAUGCAGACGCGGUGGCGGGCGAAGCAGCGGUCCAGGAGUCGCUGGUGUUGAUGCUGAAAAGUUACAGGAUCUGUUCCAGGAGGAGGAUGGCAGUACAGCAGCUUACCCUACAAAGACAACAUGAAUGACAACAGUGCAGCCUAAGCGCCAUCUGUGGCCUCAGAGGAGACAGCUCCACCCAGUCACGCUCUGAUGGAGCUUUCUGCCUUCUGGUUAAGUUAGCUGAGUUGAGUUUUGGUCUACUGCAGCUGAAGAGUCCUUUUUCUAAUACAUCAAUGGUCAAAGUGUUCUAGAGACCUAGCUCUUCCCAUGGCGCCCCAGACUAGGAUGAAAUCUCUUUCUUCUUUUCUCGUUUGCAUUCCCACUUAAGUAUUCUUCAGUAUACAGACAUGAUCACACUUAUGGUGAAUAUUUUCCAAAACCAAACUCAAGACAUAACUGGACAGUUACGGUAAUGCCGGGAUAGACUGUUAAAGUCAGGAGAGUUCCUCGACUCCUGUAUGUGGGGUUGCAGUUGCUCACUGGGUGCAAGUCUGCCUCUUUCCUUCAUAAAUGAUCUGAAGGCUGUGACUAUUUUUACCUCAUCUUUACAUCCUCCACAGUAAGUGGUAAACGAAUACAUGACUUAUCCAUACCAAUAGCAUGAACUGCUUUCUUCCUGAACUGAAGGCAAGCCCAUAUGGUUGCCACUGAGCUCCAAGAGCUCCACCGAUGUGGUCUUGAGAAGAGGAGGAAAUAAAGCCAAAUCCUCACAACUGGUUA